Molecule: small nuclear RNA, 23 nt
Filed under: Arabidopsis thaliana (thale cress)
Lineage: Eukaryota; Viridiplantae; Streptophyta; Magnoliopsida; Brassicales; Brassicaceae
Description: snRNA_02486
Source: RNAcentral
GCUUCUGGUACCCCAAAGUUUCC